Molecule: transfer RNA, 76 nt
Filed under: Burkholderia vietnamiensis
Lineage: Bacteria; Pseudomonadati; Pseudomonadota; Betaproteobacteria; Burkholderiales; Burkholderiaceae
Also listed under: 10 other names
Description: tRNA-Lys
Rfam family: tRNA
About the family: Transfer RNA (tRNA) molecules are approximately 80 nucleotides in length. Their secondary structure includes four short double-helical elements and three loops (D, anti-codon, and T loops).
Source: RNAcentral
GGGUCGUUAGCUCAGUUGGUAGAGCAGCGGACUUUUAAUCCGUUGGUCACUGGUUCGAAUCCAGUACGGCCUACCA